GUUUGUGUGCAUGUGUGUGUGUUUGUGUGUGUUUGUGUGUGAGUGUCUGUAUGUCACUGUGUGUUUACAUGUACGCAUAGAGAGACGUGUGCGAGAAAAGCGCCCUGGCACGAAUCAUUACAUUUCAUUAGCUCCUAGGAAGUAUAUUGACUGGCUAGAUAAGUCUCCAUGCUAAUACGCUCACAACAAGACACAUGUCUGCUAAUGGUUUGUCUCCGUUUUCAAUUCACUUACAUGACACCGACAGAGAUGAAGCGAAAUGACCUCAAUGGACGUAAAUGUUGUUGUUGUUGUCAUCGUCGUCGUGGUUCUUGUUAUCGUCAUCAUCAUCAUCACCACCACCGUUGUUGUUGUUGUUGUUGUUGCUGUCUGUUCUUGUUUUUGCUGUUCUUGUUAUUGCUACUUCUGCUGUUGUUACAUUCAUCUUUUCCUGCCGCGGAAAGACGCACUUUUAAACAGUUCCGUUAUGGAUUACCUUAAGUGAAUAUUUUUGAGUAUGCGAUAUAAAUAGGCAAUAUGGAACGAAAACUACGGAACGCAUCGUGAAACAUGUCAGCAGCAAGCUACCCAUAAGCUUUGUUCAUUAAUAAAUUAUUUACCUAAAACACAGCCGAGGCGUGAGCAUUUUCUGGCUCGUUCCUACAUCAUCAUCGUCAUUGUUCGACCGUGGUCGAGACAAUGGAAUUUACCAUGCUACGCCAGACUUCACGGUCCAUCAUAGCAUUACGGAGGUCCUGUUACUGGAUGCCUGUAUCCCUGGAGGUUACAUCAGGGUAGGAGAGGGUGCGCCCUCUGGUAUCGCGAGCAGAUGGCAAUUUCUAAUCUUCUCCUCUGGAUGCCAUCUACUCGUUCCUACACUGGAAGUGUUCGCGGGCUAUUUCAGAGCAACAAGCUACCAGUACCUAUACACAUACUUUUCAGAAAUGAGCACAAAGCAAGCAUAUUCGUGCAGGUUUAAGACACACCUACACUAGUGGCAUAAAAUUUGGUAGAAGGAAACACGAAAAUCAGUUUCUUAAAUGUUGGUAACAAUGUUGCCUUCGUGACACAGUAUAAGCAGGCAGUCAGGGUUGAAGUUACAAAGAUUGAUAUUCGGUCAGCUGCGGUUUCAGUCAACAUACAAUUUCUUAUAACCACCGAAUACUACAAGGCCAUUCCUGAACUGUUACCAGUUGUAAGUGAUGAAGGAACGGUGAUGAAGCUUGUAUUUCAGGGAAGUAAGUCGACAUGUGUGGUAGCAAAAAGUUCUUUCAUGUACUAUGUGACUUUAGAAACAGUACGUGCAUAAAGAAGGAAAGUAGCUGCUCAGGAAAUGGCAAGUCUCAUAAGUUGCUACAAUUCUCAGAGCACCACCGAUUGAAGAACAGAAAAAUCAGAGGAGAUUACCUCUCCUACGAUAUUGGGAACUGACUUGGCCUCUCCGAAGGAUACCACAUCUUAACCACAGUGAUAAAUGAUGAAGAGUCGCUAAUAGCAGCACUGGCAAUAAUCCUAACCAAUUCCAGCUCCAUGAAAUUUGUUAAAAUCUGUCUUGUCCCUAUUCUCAGAAACCGACAAGCGUAGCUUACCUUCGGCCAAUAGUAAUGCUUCAUCAUAUUGUGACGUGAUGCAAGCCACAGAGGAAUGGAAAAUUACCGGGAAAAUUCCUGCUCUAAAGGCGAGUAAAAUGCAACAAAAAGACGUCGACUCCAAAAGGUUCCAUUUCGCAUCUGUUAGAUAUGCACACCAAUCCUUCAUUGUCCAAAAAUUGAAUUGAAUGACGUAAGAGAGAAUGAUAUACUGGCUGAUGAGAAAUAAAUAAAGACGGAUUACAGGAGAUGCUCACGCGACAGACCCCACUCCCUCAAAAAUGUCUCCAGAAUGUUAUCACAUGUUUAAGAAGGAAAAAGCCUCAGAGUGCAGCAGGUUCUUUUUCAUUUUAUUUCGUCUAAACCCAAAAAUGUUGAGAAUGCACUUUUGGGUGCUUUCUUCAUUAGUACAUGUAGUGGCAUGAACAGAAGAGUGUAAUAUCUUAACCUGACCUAACCCGUGCAUUUCCAAACGUGUGGGCGCAUAAAUGUUAUCUUAUGCACUUUUUUAAAUAAUUUAUUAUUUUUUUUAUAGUUAUUCAGUUGUCACAUGUCCCAAUUUUUAUACAUAUUUUCUAAGUUUUUAUUCUUCGUAUAGGUUCCUUACUCCAUUCUUUCCAAGUUUAUGUAACUUGUUUUAAUUUCCAUGCAGUUUUGUCACCUGCUUUAGUUGUUAACAUUUCCGGGUUUUCCCGGAAGAGGCCAGGGAACAGAAGAAAGAAGAAAGAAGACAUUCACCCAACACCAGAGCUGAAGUCACCUCCAAAAGGGGAGCCCUGCCACGUCAAAACGGUAGAGGAGUCGGGGCCGAAACCGGAUGUGGUUCCUCCUGAUGAUGUCUUGAGCUAACUGGAUCCUAUAAAGGAGCUGUUGUGGUAGCAGACCACGAAACACGGUUGUAAUUCCUCUGUAGUUGUAAGAUUUAAAAUGAGCGUAAUUGUCCUCAACGGCUAAAGAAAGGGAAUAUUUCCAAAAGAAAUAUUCCAGCGUCGGAAAUUCACCAAUUUAACAAAAAUAACUAUGAUUCACCAAUAUUACGAAGUACAGAAAGUCAACAUUUAUGUGGAAGAUGUACUAACUGCCAUAAAAUUCAGGAUUGAAUGUGACGAUGAAGAAAGUCAAGCUCCAAGAAAAUUCAGAAGACAUGAUUCAAUUUUUCUUGUAAAAAUAAUUCAUUAUUUUACAAUUUUUAAACGAACGCUGAAUUAAAUUUGUAGAAAAGUA
Molecule: long non-coding RNA, 2792 nt
Organism: Octopus sinensis (East Asian common octopus)
Lineage: Eukaryota; Metazoa; Mollusca; Cephalopoda; Octopoda; Octopodidae
Exons: 2
Source: RefSeq, a predicted model, not a curated record